Mercurialis annua (annual mercury) is the source of this 527-nucleotide long non-coding RNA. RefSeq lists it as uncharacterized. The record is from RefSeq and is a predicted model, not a curated record. The transcript is spliced from 2 exons. NCBI's taxonomy places the organism in Eukaryota, Viridiplantae, Streptophyta, Magnoliopsida, Malpighiales, Euphorbiaceae.
AUUCAUGUGCUUGAAUUUUGCAACAGAAGCCUUCAUUCCUUCCUCCCCUAUUUAAACGUGCUUCAUCUACUGCAUUACGUUUCUAUUUUUUUUUCUAAACCUAAUAUUUUCAUUCCCUUCUUAACAAACAUCAGCCGCCAUUCUUCAAGUGUUCUGAGAUCAUAAUCAUCAUCUUUCAUUCUAUUAUUCGAACCAGCUUUAAAUCUGAUUGUACUUUGACGGUUCACAUCAACUCUGCGAUCUCUAUCAUCGCUACGUUUCGAAAUCGAUUAAGACCUGUCGACUGUUCGUACUUCAGAGGCGAACCAGAGUUAGAUUGCUUGUCAAGUUUCACGUGGAAUAGCAAGCAGUUUAUGAUUUGAGCUUUGGUCGAUCUCCGUUUCUUCAUUUCCGGAGGUUUUUAUUUUAUUUUCAGAAAUAAAGAGUCGAACUGUUUUAAACUCUUAGACCGCAGUAGUAGUAUUAGAUUACUUAUGAUUAGUCUUGUACUUAUAUUUUUAGACUGUUGAAUGUUGGUGAUUAUUUUA